This 698-nucleotide long non-coding RNA is filed under the name Capsella grandiflora. RNAcentral describes it as "long non-coding RNA (CGRA_LNC001159)". The record is from RNAcentral. Lineage: Eukaryota; Viridiplantae; Streptophyta; Magnoliopsida; Brassicales; Brassicaceae.
AGCGGCAAAGAUAGUUGGAUUCCUUCGGACAACAUUAACAAAGGCCAUCUUGACUACUUCUUCUGGCUUUUGGUUUGUCUUGGAUGUGUUAACAUACCUGUUUUUAUCUUCUUCUCUGUGAAGUACACUCACAAGAAGGUUUGAUCUCUUCUUUCAAAAUAUUUGUCAAGCACAAAACAUUAUGUGGACCUUAAUAACCUUUGUGUUACAAAUUGAAACACUAUGUGUCUAACAAUAAAAGCGUGAAGAUAGUCAUGAUCAUAAUGUUUAUAUUUGGUAACCCCGACUCACACUAAUAAGGUACUUAAAUUAAGUUUUUUCGCAUAAAAACUAUAUAACUAACUACGCAGCUAAACUUUUAUAAUGCCACGGUUCGUAAAUACUUGAGACAAAAAAUUGAAUAUUUUCAUUUUGUAAUCAACUCACCUCGCACCAGACCAUUUACAUUCUGCCUCCUCUUCUAUUUGAAUGCAAUGAUGUUAUCCCCACCAGAGUGAAGUCACUUAGCAAGAUAAAAUAUAAUGAGUUGCGUAUGAGGUUUCAUGUUCCUGUCUUACAAUUACACAUGGCUAAAUAAGCUUACACUCUUUUAUCACAGACCAGACCACAGCUUCAGACUACAUCAAUUAAUCUGUCAGCUCCUUCAUUUGGCCCUGUUCCAAUUCACAAAUCUCAACAUUUAGAAACACUUUAUCAUC